GCAUGCCUAACACAUGCAAGUCGAACGGAGAUUACCUUUUUAAUCUUAGUGGCGAACGGGUGAGUAACGCGUGGGCAACCUGCCCUCUACAUGGGGACAACAUCCCGAAAGGGGUGCUAAUACCGAAUGAGACAGCCAUCACGCAUGAGGAUGCUGUGAAAGAUGGCCUCUAUUUAUAAGCUAUCGCUAGAAGAUGGACCUGCUUCUGAUUAUCUAGUUGGUGGGGUAACGGCCUACCAACGCCAUGAUCAAUAGCCGGUCAGAGAAGAGGAACGGCCACAUUGGGACUGACACACGGCCCACUACUCCUACGGGAGGCAGCAGUGGGGAAUCUUCCGCAAUGGGAGAAAGCCUGACGGAGCAAUGCCGCGUGAGAUGAUGAGGGAAUUCGUUCCGUACAGCUCUUUUGUUUAUGACGAAUGUGCAGAUUGUGAACAAUGAUCUGUAAUGACGGUAGUAAAGAAAUAAUACCACGGCUAACUACGUGCCAGCAGCCGCGGAAAUACGUAGGUGGCGAGCGUUGUCCGGAAUUAUUGGGCGUAAAGAGCAUGUAUGCGGUUUUUUAAGUCUGGAGUGAAAAUGCGGGGCUCAACCCCGUAUGGCUCUGGAUACUGGAAGACUUGAGAGCAAGAGAGGAAACGGGAAUUCCCAGUGUAGCUGCUGAAAUGCUUAGAUAUAGUGACGAACACCAGUGGCGAAGGCUCCUCUCUGGACUGUGUCUGACUCUGAGAUGCGAAAGCCAGGGUAGCAAACGGGAUUAGAUACCCCGGUAGUCCUGGCCAUAAACGAUGGUGACUAGGUGUAAGCAGCAUCGACCCCUUCUGAGCCGGAGUUAACGCAAUAAGUACCCCGCGUGGGGAGUACGUCCGCAAGAGAUGAAACUCAAAGGAAUUGACGGGGGCCAGCACAAGCGGUGGAGUAUGUGGUAUAAUUCGACGCAACGAGAAGAACCUUACCAAGGCUUGACAUUGAAUGACCGAUUCAGAGAUGGAGCUUUCCGAUUACGGGGACAUGAAAACAGGUGGUGCAUGGCUGUCGUCAGCUCGUGUCGUGAGAUGUUGGGUUAAGUCCCGCAACGAGCGCAACCCAUAUCCUAUGUUACCAUCGGGUAAUGCCGGGGACUCAUAGGAGAUUGCCAAGGACAACUUGGAGGAAGGCGGGGAAGACGUCAAGUCAUCAUGCCCCUUAUGUCUCGGGAUACACACGUAUUACAAUGGUCGGCAACAGAGGGAAGAGAAGCCGUGAGGCAGAGCAAACCCCAGAAAUCCGAUAUCAGUUUGGAUUGUAGGAUGCAACUCGCCUGCAUGAAUUCGGAAUCGCUAGUAAUCGCAGGUCAGCAUAUUGCGGUGAAUACGUUGCCGGGCUUUGUACACACCGCCCGUCACACCAGGAAAGUCGGUAACACCGGAAGCCGGUGGGGUAACUGUAAGGAGCCAGCCGUCUAAGGUGGGGCCGAUGAUUG
Molecule: ribosomal RNA, 1462 nt
Filed under: uncultured organism
Description: SSU rRNA
Rfam family: Bacterial small subunit ribosomal RNA
Source: RNAcentral